Molecule: ribosomal RNA, 927 nt
Filed under: uncultured bacterium
Lineage: Bacteria
Description: bacterial SSU rRNA
Rfam family: Bacterial small subunit ribosomal RNA
Source: RNAcentral
AGAGUUUGAUCCUGGCUCAGAACGAACGUUAGCGGCGCGCUUAACACAUGCAAGUCGUGCGAGAAAGGGGCAACCCCGGUAAAGCGGCGCACGGGUGAGUAACACGUAGGUAAUCUACCUCCAGGUGGUGGAUAACCUUCCGAAAGGAGGGCUAAUACAGCAUGAGACCACGGUUCCGCAAGGGAUUGAGGUCAAAGCCGGCCUCUUCAUGAAAGCUGGCGCCAGGAGAUGAGCCUGCGGCCCAUCAGCUAGUUGGUAGGGUAACGGCCUACCAAGGCGAAGACGGGUAGCUGGUCUGAGAGGAUGAUCAGCCACACUGGAACUGAGACACGGUCCAGACUCCUACGGGAGGCAGCAGUGGGGAAUCUUGCGCAAUGGGCGAAAGCCUGACGCAGCGACGCCGCGUGAGUGAUGAAGGCCUUCGGGUUGUAAAGCUCUGUGGAGAGGGACGAAUAAGUCGUGGCCAACAUCCACGAUGAUGACGGUACCUCUUUAGCAAGCACCGGCUAACUCUGUGCCAGCAGCCGCGGUAAGACAGAGGGUGCAAACGUUGUUCGGAAUUACUGGGCGUAAAGCGCGUGUAGGCUGCUUCGCAAGUCGGAUGUGAAAGCCCUGGGCUCAACCUAGGAAGUGCAUUCGAAACUGCGAAGCUGGAGUCCUGGAGAGGAAGGCGGAAUUCUCGGUGUAGAGGUGAAAUUCGUAGAUAUCGAGAGGAACACCGGUGGCGAAGGCGGCCUUCUGGACAGUGACUGACGCUGAGACGCGAAAGCGUGGGGAGCAAACAGGAUUAGAUACCCUGUAGUCCACGCCGUAAACGAUGGGUGCUAGGGUGUCGCGGGCUUUGACCCCUGCGGUGCCGUAGCUAACGCAUUAAGCACCCCGCCUGGGGAGUACGGCCGCAAGGCUAAAACUCAAAGGAAUUGACGG